GAUGAACGCUGGCGGCGCGCCUAACACAUGCAAGUCGAACGAUUAAAGCACCUUCGGGUGUGUAUAAAGUGGCGAACGGCUGAGUAACACGUGGGCAACCUGCCCCUCUCAUUGGGAUAGCCACGGGAAACCGUGGAUAAUACCGAAUACUUCGAGACUUCCGCAUGAAAGACUCGAGAAAGCUCCGGCGGAGAGGGAUGGGCCCGCGGCCUGUUAGCUUGUUGGUGGGGUAACGGCCUACCAAGGCAAUGAUGGGUAGCUGGGUUGAGAGACCGACCAGCCAGAUUGGGACUGAGACACGGCCCAGACUCUUACGGGAGGCAGCAGUGGGGAAUCUUGCACAAUGGGCGAAAGCCUGAUGCAGCGACGCCGCGUGCGGGAUGAAGGCCUUCGGGUUGUAAACCGCUUUCAGCAGGGACGAGGCGAAAGUGACGGUACCUGCAGAAGAA
RNAcentral lists this ribosomal RNA (449 nucleotides) under Lancefieldella parvula. Its description in RNAcentral is "bacterial SSU rRNA". It matches the Rfam family "Bacterial small subunit ribosomal RNA", at positions 28 to 489 of the family's 1533-position model. The record is from RNAcentral. Lineage: Bacteria; Bacillati; Actinomycetota; Coriobacteriia; Coriobacteriales; Atopobiaceae.